RNAcentral lists this ribosomal RNA (784 nucleotides) under uncultured Methanomicrobiaceae archaeon. RNAcentral's name for it is "bacterial SSU rRNA". It matches the Rfam family "Archaeal small subunit ribosomal RNA", at positions 87 to 876 of the family's 1478-position model. The record is from RNAcentral. Lineage: Archaea; Methanobacteriati; Methanobacteriota; Methanomicrobia; Methanomicrobiales; Methanomicrobiaceae.
GGCUCAGUAACACGUGGACAACCUGCCCUGCGGUGAGGGAUAACUCCGGGAAACUGGAGAUAAUACCUCAUAGUUUACCAUCGCUGGAAUGCCUGGUAAGCGAAAGGUCCGCCGCCACAGGAUGGGUCUGCGGCCGAUUAGGUUGUUGUUGGGGCAACGGCCCAACAAGCCUGUGAUCGGUACGGGUUGUGGGAGCUAGAGCCCGGAGAUGGAUUCUGAGACACGAAUCCAGGCCCUACGGGGCGCAGCAGGCGCGAAAACUUUACAAUGCAGGCAACUGUGAUAAGGGAACCCCGAGUGCCCGUAUGGACGGGCUGUUCAGGUGCUUAAAAACCACCUGGAGAAAGGGCCGGGCAAGACCGGUGCCAGCCGCCGCGGUAAUACCGGCGGCUCGAGUGGUGGCCACUAUUACUGGGCUUAAAGCGUCCGUAGCUUGGUCGUUAAGCCUCUGGGGAAAUCUUCCGGCUCAACCGGAAGGCGUCUCAGGGGAACUGGCGGCCUAGGGAUCGGGAGAGGUGAGAGGUACUCUGGGGGUAGGAGUGAAAUCCUGUAAUCCUCAGGGGACCACCUGUGGCGAAGGCGUCUCACCAGAACGACUCCGACAGUGAGGGACGAAAGCUGGGGGAGCAAACCGGAUUAGAUACCCGGGUAGUCCCAGCCGUAAACGAUGCGCGUUAGGUGUAUCGGUGACCACGAGUUACCGAGGUGCCGAAGGGAAACCGUGAAACGCGCCGCCUGGGAAGUACGGUCGCAAGGCUGAAACUUAAAGGAAUUGGCGGGGGAG